This is a small nucleolar RNA of Hemicordylus capensis (graceful crag lizard), 72 nucleotides long. RefSeq annotates it as small nucleolar RNA SNORD59. NCBI's taxonomy places the organism in Eukaryota, Metazoa, Chordata, Lepidosauria, Squamata, Cordylidae. The transcript has a single exon. The record is from RefSeq and is a predicted model, not a curated record.
CCUUCACUGAUGAGUAAACUUGUGACUUUCGUUCUUCUGAGACUGCUGAAGCAAUUUUUGAUUCUGAGAAGG